This 398-nucleotide long non-coding RNA is filed under the name Brassica rapa (field mustard). Its description in RNAcentral is "long non-coding RNA (BRAP_LNC005337)". Lineage: Eukaryota; Viridiplantae; Streptophyta; Magnoliopsida; Brassicales; Brassicaceae. The record is from RNAcentral.
UCUUAUUACUGUGGGGUGUAUCACUAGUGUGAUGUCUCUGACCUGCGCUAUCAGCCAAACGGAAUAAGCUAUCCCUUAUACAAGUCCUUGUUUCCAUAUCUAACUGCAGGUCAAUAAGUAGUAUUAGUUUACUUUCAACAUAAAGGUCAACUAACAUAACAUAACAAACCAGUUGAGUACCUUUGCUACAACAUCUUGAAGCCGAUAAAGAACCGAGAAUUCUGAUGGAUUAUCAACAGCAGCAGCAAAGUUUCCAGAAUCAUCUAGUUCCAGAGAUGAAUUGGGAUCAAAGGAAGGUAUUGCGGUUAGCCCUUGAAGACUAGUUUUGUCGACAAGCUGAGUAAUUGACUGAUCUGCUACAGGAACCUGGUGACGAAAUUGCUGCUGUUGUCUCUGAA